AUUUGGAUAAAGCAGCUAAGCGCAAGGCAAAACAUGAGAAACUUAAGAAAAAAGGCUGACUAGAAUUGAAUUGUUAUUCAUGUGACACCUUAAGAUUAGUGGCCACUAUGAAGACAUCCUCCACUGAAUCUAUGAUAGCCACCAAAUUCUGCAAUCUUGCAGGCAGAACAUUAUGAAGAUGAUUGCGGAUAAGCAACGGCACAAGACAAAGGAGAUUAAAGAGGCUUGCAUUUCUCAUGUGCAGCUUGAUGACCUUAAAGAGAAUGGGAAAUUGUGUUGGAUGAAAACUUAA
This 292-nucleotide long non-coding RNA is filed under the name Medicago truncatula (barrel medic). RNAcentral's name for it is "lncRNA gene26176". The record is from RNAcentral. Lineage: Eukaryota; Viridiplantae; Streptophyta; Magnoliopsida; Fabales; Fabaceae.